AGAGUUUGAUCCUGGCUCAGAACGAACGCUGGUGGCGUGCUUAACACAUGCAAGUCGAACGAGAAAGUUUCCUUCGGGAAAUUAGUAAAGUGGCGCAAGGGUGAGUAUCACGUGAAUAAUCUGCCCUCGAGAUCGGGAUAACAUGGUGAAAACUAUGCUAAUACCGGAUAAGACCACAUUUCAUAAGAAAUGCGGUAAAAGGAGUCUCAAUCUUCACUCGAGGAUGAGUUCGCGCAACAUUAGCUUGUUGGUGAGAUAAAAGCUCACCAAGGCUACGAUGUUUAGCCGGCCUGAGAGGGUGAACGGCCACACUGGAACUGAGACACGGUCCAGACUCCUACGGGAGGCAGCAGUGGGGAAUAUUGCGCAAUGGGCGAAAGCCUGACGCAGCAACGCCGUGUGAGCGAUGAAGGCCUUAGGGUCGUAAAGCUCUGUCAAAUGGGAAGAAUUUUGACGGUACCAUUAGAGGAAGCCCCGGCUAACUCCGUGCCAGCAGCCGCGGUAAUACGGAGGGGGCAAGCGUUGUUCGGAAUUAUUGGGCGUAAAGAGCUCGUAGGCGGUUCAGUAAGUCGGGUGUGAAAACUUGAGGCUCAACCUCAAGAGGCCACUCGAUACUGCUGUGACUGGAGUCCGGUAGAGGAGUGUGGAAUUCCUGGUGUAGCGGUGAAAUGCGCAGAUAUCAGGAGGAACACCGACAGCGAAGGCAGCACUCUGGGCCGGUACUGACGCUGAGGAGCGAAAGCAUGGGGAGCGAACAGGAUUAGAUACCCUGGUAGUCCAUGCCGUAAACGUUGGGCACUAGGUGUGGGGUCUAGCUAACAGAUUCCGUGCCGUAGCUAACGCAUUAAGUGCCCCGCCUGGGGAGUACGGCCGCAAGGCUAAAACUCAAAGGAAUUGACGGGGGCCCGCACAAGCGGCGGAGCAUGUUGCUUAAUUCGAGGCAACGCGAAGAACCUUACCUGGGUUUGACAUGUAGGGAAAAGCCAUAGAGAUAUGGUGUCCUUAGGGGCCCUACACAGGUGGUGCAUGGCUGUCGUCAGCUCGUGUCGUGAGAUGUUGGGUUAAGUCCCGCAACGAGCGCAACCCUUGUCCUAUGUUGCCAGCGGAUAAUGCCGGGGACUCGUAGGAGACUGCCGGGGUCAACUCGGAGGAAGGUGGGGACGACGUCAAGUCAUCAUGCCCCUUAUAUCCAGGGCUGCAAACAUGCUACAAUGGCCGGUACAGAGGGCUGCAAAACCGCGAGGUUGAGCGAAUCCCACAAAGCCGGUCUCAGUUCGGAUUGGAGUCUGCAACUCGACUCCAUGAAGGCGGAGUCGCUAGUAAUCCCGGAUCAGCAACGCCGGGGUGAAUACGUUCCCGGGCCUUGUACACACCGCCCGUCACACCACGAAAGUCAGCAACACCCGAAGUCAGUUGCCUAACUCUUAGGAGAAGGAGCUGCCGAAGGUGGGGUCGGCGAUUGGGGUGAAGUCGUAACAAGGUAACC
Molecule: ribosomal RNA, 1486 nt
Filed under: uncultured bacterium
Lineage: Bacteria
Description: partial 16S ribosomal RNA
Rfam family: Bacterial small subunit ribosomal RNA
Source: RNAcentral